UACAGGGGGUGCAAACGUUGCUCGGAAUUAUUGGGCGUAAAGCGCGCGUAGGCGGUCUUUUAAGUCGGAUGUGAAAGCCCUUGGCUCAACCAAGGAAGCGCACCCGAAACUGAAAGGCUGGAGUAUCAGAGAGGGUCGUGGAAUUCCCGGUGUAGAGGUGAAAUUCGUAGAUAUCGGGAGGAACACCGGCGGCGAAGGCGGCGACCUGGCUGAAUACUGACGCUGAGGCGCGAAAGCGUGGGGAGCAAACAGG
This 253-nucleotide ribosomal RNA is filed under the name uncultured bacterium. RNAcentral describes it as "partial 16S ribosomal RNA". It matches the Rfam family "Bacterial small subunit ribosomal RNA", at positions 524 to 776 of the family's 1533-position model. The record is from RNAcentral.